UACGGAGGGGGCGAGCGUUAUUCGGAAUUAUUGGGCGUAAAGGGCGCGUAGGCGGCCCGGUAAGUCAAAGGUGAAAUCCCUCGGCUCAACUGAGGAACUGCCUUUGAAACUGUCGGGCUUGGGGCCGGGAGGGGGUAGCGGAAUUCCCAGUGUAGCGGUGAAAUGCGUAGAUAUUGGGAGGAACACCAGUGGCGAAGGCGGCUACCUGGACCGGUUCUGACGCUGAUGCGCGAAAGCGUGGGUAGCAAACAGG
RNAcentral lists this ribosomal RNA (253 nucleotides) under uncultured bacterium. RNAcentral describes it as "partial 16S ribosomal RNA". It matches the Rfam family "Bacterial small subunit ribosomal RNA", at positions 524 to 776 of the family's 1533-position model. The record is from RNAcentral.